GGAUUUCGGAGAGGGAGCAUGAGAAACGGCUACCACAUCUAAGGAAGGCAGCAGGCGCGUAAAUUACCCAAUCCUGACUCAGGGAGGUAGUGACAAGAAAUAGCAAACCGGGAACCUCAUGGUUUCACGGUAUUGCAAUGAGAACAAUUUAAAACCCUUAGCGAGAAUCAAGUGGAGGACAAGUCUGGUGCCAGCACCCGCGGUAAUUCCAGCUCCACUAGCGUAUAUUAAAGUUGUUGCAGUUAAAAAGCUCGUAGUUGAACCUCUGUCUGGGGCUAGUUUUGGCUUUAGUCAGGCUAGUUCUAGGCAUCCGCCUACAAGACUUAGAGGGCAUUCAGUUGUUCACUAGGAGGAGUAGGCAUUUUACUUUGAAAAAAAUUAGAGUGUUUAAGGCAGGCAAUCGCCCGCAUAUAUUAGCAUGGAAUAAUAGAAUAGGACACUUUUCCAUUUCGUUGGUUAUUGGAAUCGUGUAAUGAUUAAUAGGGACAGUUGUGGGCAUUUGUAUUUAAUUGUCAGAGGUGAAAUUCUUGGAUUUAUUAAAGACAAACUAACGCGAAAGCAUUUGCCAAGGAUGUUUUCAUUAAUCAAGAACGAAAGUUAGGGGAUCAAAGACGAUCAGAUACCGUCCUAGUCUUAACUAUAAACUAUUCCGACUCAAUGUUUGACUGGCUUAUAUAACCAGUUGAGCGUUGUAUGAGAAAUCAAAGUCUUUAGGUUCUGGGGGGAGUAUGGUUGCAAAGCUGAAACUUAAAGGAAUUGACGGAAGAGCACAACCAGGAGUGGAUUCUGCGGCUUAAUUUGACUCAACACGGGGAAACUUACCAGGUUAAAACAAUAGUGGGAUUGACAGUUUGAGAGCGCUUUCUUGAUUGGUUGGGUGGUGGUGCAUGGCCGUUCUUAGUUGGUGGAGUGAUUUGUCUGCUUAAUUGCGUUAACGAACGAGACCUUAACCUGCUUACUAGACUGGCGAUCAUCAAUCGUUAGCUCUUCUUAGAGGGACUUUGGUUGUUUUAACUCCAAGGAAGUUUGAGGCAAUAACAGGUCUGUGAUGCCCUUAGAUAUCCUGGGCCGCACGCGUCAUACAAUGACUAGUUCAGAAAGUUUUCUCCUGACCCGAAAGGGGGUGGGUAAUCUUGAUAAUACUAGUCGUGUUAGGGAUCGAUCUUUGCAAUUAUAGAUCUUGAACGAGGAAUUCCUAGUAAGUGCGGUUCAUCAGACCGUACUGAUUACGUCCCUGCUCUUUGUACACACCGCCCGUCGCUUCUACCGAGUGGGUGGUCCGGUGAGAUAAUUGAACUUCGCAGGUAACUGAGAGGAAAGAUUAUCAAACCUAUCCACCUCGAGGAAGAAGAAGUCGUAACAAGGUU
Molecule: ribosomal RNA, 1367 nt
Filed under: metagenome
Description: SSU rRNA
Rfam family: Eukaryotic small subunit ribosomal RNA
Source: RNAcentral